RNAcentral lists this ribosomal RNA (273 nucleotides) under uncultured bacterium. RNAcentral's name for it is "partial 16S ribosomal RNA". It matches the Rfam family "Bacterial small subunit ribosomal RNA", at positions 524 to 796 of the family's 1533-position model. The record is from RNAcentral.
UACGUAGGGUGCAAGCGUUGUCCGGAAUUAUUGGGCGUAAAGAGCUCGUAGGUGGUCUGUUGCGUCGGCUGUGAAAACCCGGGGCUCAACCCCGGGCCUGCAGCCGAUACGGGCAGACUAGAGUUCGGCAGGGGAGACUGGAAUUCCUGGUGUAGCGGUGAAAUGCGCAGAUAUCAGGAGGAACACCGGUGGCGAAGGCGGGUCUCUGGGCCGAAACUGACACUGAGGAGCGAAAGCGUGGGGAGCGAACAGGAUUAGAAACCCCCGUAGUCC